ACUUCAGAUUUUCGAACAUAAACCACUCUGGAGAUUUUCCUAAACGAUGCGCCAAUAUCUCCUCUACAACACCUAUAUAGUAGUUGCCCGUCACAAUCUCUUGAAAUUGGUCAAAAAUUAACUUAAAUUGGCCUACCCCCCUAAUCUCAUUUUGUCAAUUUCACAAUAAAAGUUUUAGUUUUUUAACCGUUACUUCAGAUUUUCCAACAUAAACCACUCUGGAGAUUUUCUUAAACGAUGCGCCAUUGUCUCCUCUACAAUACCUAUAUAGUCGUUGCCCGUCAUAAUCUCUUGAAAUAGGUCAAAAAUUAACUUAAAUUGGCCUACCCCCCUAAUCUCAUUUUGUCAAUUUCACAAUUUCAGUUUUUUAAGCGUAACUUCAGAUUUUCGAACAUAAACCACUCUGGAGAUUUUCUUAAACGAUGCGCCAUUGUCUCCCCUACAACACCUGUAUAGUCGUUGCCCGUCACAAUCUCUUUAAAAUGGUCAAAAAUUAACUUAAAUUGGCCUACCCCCCUAAUCUCAUUUUGUCAAUUUCACAAUUUCAGUUUUUUAACCGUAACUUCAGAUUUUCGAACAUAAACCACUCUGGAGAUUUUCUUAAACGAUGCGCCAUUGUCUCCCCUACAACACCUGUAUAGUCGUUGCCCGUCACAAUCUCUUUAAAAUGGUCCAAAUUUUUCUUUUAGUGCCCUAACCCCCUAAUCUCAUUUUGUCAAUUUCACAAUAAAAGUUUCAGUUUUUUAACCGUAACUUCAGAUUUUCGAACAUAAACCACUCUGAAGAUUUUCCUAAACGAUGCGCCAAUGUCUCCUCUACAACACCUAUAUA
This is a long non-coding RNA of Mytilus californianus (California mussel), 831 nucleotides long. RefSeq lists it as uncharacterized. The record is from RefSeq and is a predicted model, not a curated record. NCBI's taxonomy places the organism in Eukaryota, Metazoa, Mollusca, Bivalvia, Mytilida, Mytilidae. The transcript is spliced from 3 exons.